AACGAACGCUGGCGGCAUGCCUAACACAUGCAAGUCGAACGAUUCUUUCGUGCAUAGUGGCGCACGUGUGCGUAACGCGUGGGAAUCUGCCCUGGGGUUCGGGAUAACAUCGGGAAACUGCUGCUAAUACCGGAUGAUAUCGCGAGAUCAAAGAUUUAUCGCCCUAGGAUGAGCCCGCUUCGGAUUAGGUAGUUGGUGGGGUAAGAGCCUCCCAAGCCGACGAUCCGUAGCUGGUCUGAGAGGAUGAUCAGCCACACUGGGACUGGGACACGGCCCAGAAUCUUACGGGAGGCAGGAGUGGGGAAUAUUGGAACAUGGGCGCAAGCCUGAUCCAGCAAUGACGCGUGAGUGAUGAAGGCAUUAGGGUUGUAAAGCUCUUUUACCCGGGAUGAUAAUGACAGUACCGGGCGAAUAAGCCCCGGCUAACUCCGUG
RNAcentral lists this ribosomal RNA (433 nucleotides) under uncultured bacterium. Its description in RNAcentral is "partial 16S ribosomal RNA". It matches the Rfam family "Bacterial small subunit ribosomal RNA", at positions 29 to 507 of the family's 1533-position model. The record is from RNAcentral.